RNAcentral lists this ribosomal RNA (402 nucleotides) under bacterium. RNAcentral's name for it is "partial 16S ribosomal RNA". It matches the Rfam family "Bacterial small subunit ribosomal RNA", at positions 355 to 776 of the family's 1533-position model. The record is from RNAcentral.
UGGGGAAUUUUGCACAAUGGGGGACACCCUGAUGCAGCCACGCCGCGUGAUUUAGAAGGCCUUCGGGUUGUAAAAAUCUUUUCUAUGGGAAGAAAAUGACAGUACCAUAGGAAUAAGGACCGGCUAAUUACGUGCCAGCAGCCGCGGUAAUACGUAAGGUCCGAGCGUUUUCCGGAAUCAUUGGGCGUAAAGGGUACGUAGGCGGGUAAGCAAGUUAGAAGUGAAAUCCUAUAGCUCAAAUAUAGUAAGCUUUUAAAACUGCUCAUCUUGAGGUAUGGAAGGGAAGGUGGAAGUCCUAGUGUAGCGGUGAAAUGCGCAGAUAUUAGGAGGAAUACCGGUGGCGAAGGCGACUUUCUGGCCAUAACCUGACGCUGAGGUACGAAAGCGUGGGUAGCAAACAGG